Molecule: ribosomal RNA, 1554 nt
Organism: Pelodiscus sinensis (Chinese soft-shelled turtle)
Lineage: Eukaryota; Metazoa; Chordata; Testudines; Trionychidae
Rfam family: Eukaryotic large subunit ribosomal RNA
Source: Rfam
UAAAAGGGGUCUGUGAGAAAUGUUCAUCUAGUGAAACCACAGCUAAGGGAACAGCUUGGCAGAAUUGUUGAGGAAAGAUGACCCUGUUCAGCUUGAUGCUUUUCUGGAAGUGGGAAGCAACAUGACAGAGUAGAAUAAAUGAGAGGCCCCCAGGCUGCCAGUGAAAUACCCCUUUUAUUUUCUUAUACAGCCAGUGAGCUGGGGCAAGUCUUGAGAGAUUUUCAUUUCUGACUGCCAGUGUCCAACACAGGCAGGGUGUGACUCUAGCCCAGGGCUACUCAACAUUGAAAGCUCCGGGGGCCACAAUGGUACUCACAGCACAUGCCGAGGGCUACAACGUAAGUGUGCUUGCAUAUACAUGCAAAUGUAUAUGCGAAUAUAUGCAAAUAGCUUUUCACACUGACAGGCAUAAUACAAAGAUUAAGGCAAGACCACACAACACACAGGCCCUAUUUAAGUCAGUUCUGUUGAUAUUAAUAAAAUGCAAUAUUUACCCAAUUUCCACACCUAUGCCAACACUUCUCAUGAGCAAUGCCAGUCCAGGAAUUUAACUAACAACAUGCUUAUCAACAGAAUACCAUUAUAUUGACUACUUUUGUGUUUUGGCUCCCAUCCACAGGCUGUGUGUUGAGCCCCGUGUAAACCCAAACUGUACAACAGGAUAGAAACGGGCCACAUGCAGCCCACAUGUUGAGUAGCUCUGCUCUAGCCAUUGUCAGAUGGGGUGUUUGACUAGUCAGUAUACAUCAAACCAUGACACAGGUGUUCAAGGGCAAGCACAAGGAGAACAGAAACCUCCCAUGGAGCAAAAGCUGUUAACCUUGAUUUUCAGCAUGAAUACAGACUGAUUAUGGGGCCAUAGAUCCCUUCUGACAUCUAGGUUUUAAGCAGGUGUCAAAAAGUUACAAGAAUAAGUGGCAUGUGGCAGCUAAGCAUUCACAGUGAUGUCACUUUUUGACCAUUUGAGAGGUUUUUCCUAUCCAUGCAAAGCAGAAGUCACCAGUGAGUGGAUUAUUCACCCCACUAAUAGGGAAGGUGAGCUGGGUUUAGAUAGUUAUGAGCAGGGCUCAACAAAGUAUUGAAUCUAUUUGCCCAUGGCAAGUAGAUUUCAGCUGGGUGUCCCAUUCAUUUGCAGCAUGCACAUGCGCAAUGUGGGUCUUGCGCAUGUGUAGUACAGGGCUAGCGAGAGGCUUUCACCGCUGUUCGUCAAGUGCUGGUUAUGAGACAUUUUAUUAUGCUGGUGUGUUGUUGCAAUAGUAAAUUGGCUCAGGAUCCGAGGAACCACUGCUUCAGUCUUUGUAGAUGCUUGGAUAAACAGCACAGGGGAAGGAAAGGGGGAACUGCCAUAUUUGUGGUUGACUGACUGCUUUUAAUCAGAGUCCCUCCCGCAACAUAACAAUGGGGGGGGGGGAGGGGAGAGGAGAAGCAGUCCUAUCUAAUUUUACCUCCAGUGACCUGGAGACCCAUGUUGUAAGUAUUCAUUUCCUAUAACUUGACAGCUGAGCUUCCUAAAAUGCAGAACAAGGAAAUCUCUCACGUGGUACGUGAACGUAU